Brassica oleracea var. oleracea is the source of this 578-nucleotide long non-coding RNA. RefSeq lists it as uncharacterized. Lineage: Eukaryota; Viridiplantae; Streptophyta; Magnoliopsida; Brassicales; Brassicaceae. The transcript has 2 exons. The record is from RefSeq and is a predicted model, not a curated record.
CCUUAUGUUUGUUACUCUUUCGUUGCUUAUUUAUGGUUGUCAUGUAUUGUGUUAUAUGCUUUCCAGGUGAAGUUGCAGCUUAUCACCGUGAAGAGCUGGAUGUGCAAAAUCAACGAUCUAUAGAGGAACCAGCUAAAAAGUUCCUAGAGCUUUGUCUGAUUCACAGUAUGCAUCUUAUAGACAGGAAGAGGAGCAAACUCUGAAUAAUAGCUGGGGCUGUGUUGGCAAUUCACAUGCUAACUUCACUUGUAAAUGAGCCUGAACUCUUUGAUAUAAUGAAAUGCAGAGCAAUGGAAGAAGCAAAGGUGGUUGUUCUAUGUGUGUGUUUGAGGAAUCUUUUGAUGUAAGUAUUGUCGGAAUGGAGACAGAGAGAAACUUGUUUUUGUUGUGUUGGGAUGGUGUCUGAUGGAUCUUGAAGCAGACAGAAUCUAUCGCUUCGUCAGAUUGCAUCACUGGGGUUUGUUCCAUUUUGCAGUACUACUCGUGAGCCUGUAACACAAAAUAUUAUUAUUAUAUGCCUUCUCAAUGUGUAAGAUUGUCUGUUAGUCUUCUAACAAUUGCCAUUACAUUUAUGCUAA